GGGCGCAAGCCUGAUGCAGCCAUGCCGCGUGUGUGAAGAAGGCCUUAGGGUUGUCACGCACUUUCAGUCAGGAGGAAAGGUUAGUAGUUAAUACCUGCUAGCUGUGACGUUACUGACAGAAGAAGCACCGGCUAACUCCGUGCCAGCAGCCGCGGUAAUACGGAGGGUGCGAGCGUUAAUCGGAAUUACUGGGCGUAAAGCGUACGCAGGCGGUUUGUUAAGCGAGAUGUGAAAGCCCCGGGCUUAACCUGGGAACUGCAUUUCGAACUGGCAAACUAGAGUGUGAUAGAGGGUGGUAGAAUUUCAGGUGUAGCGGUGAAAUGCGUAGAGAUCUGAAGGAAUACCGAUGGCGAAGGCAGCCACCUGGGUCAACACUGACGCUCAUGUACGAAAGCGUGGGGAGCAACCAGGAUUAGAUACCCUGGUAGUCCACGCCGUAAACGAUGUCUACUAGGAGCUGGGGUCUUCGGACAACUUUUCCAAAGCUAACGCAUUAAGUAGACCGCCUGGGGAGUACGGCCG
RNAcentral lists this ribosomal RNA (522 nucleotides) under Pseudoalteromonas sp. 8Bb2S35. Its description in RNAcentral is "bacterial SSU rRNA". It matches the Rfam family "Bacterial small subunit ribosomal RNA", at positions 373 to 888 of the family's 1533-position model. Lineage: Bacteria; Pseudomonadati; Pseudomonadota; Gammaproteobacteria; Alteromonadales; Pseudoalteromonadaceae. The record is from RNAcentral.